This 302-nucleotide long non-coding RNA is filed under the name Theobroma cacao (cacao). RNAcentral describes it as "long non-coding RNA (TCAC_LNC000600)". The record is from RNAcentral. Lineage: Eukaryota; Viridiplantae; Streptophyta; Magnoliopsida; Malvales; Malvaceae.
GUGAGAUCUGAGAGGAGAGAGAAGGCCGACGGGAAGAGAAGGAUCGUCCGACAGAAGGCGAAGAGAUCCGCCGGGAGAGAGAGAAGAGAAAGAGAAGCCGACGGGAAGAGAGGGGAGGACGCCGGCGUCGGCGAAGAAAAGGAAGAAAACUUUUUAGAGAGAAGGGAGAGGGUGCGGCUAGAGAGAGAAACAGAAAGGAGAAAAUGAAUAAAAAAGGCUAAAAAAGAGCUUUUAUACCCAGAGGAAAGAGGGCAAAACGGUGUCGUUUCAGAGGAAGGAGGGCAAAACGGCGUCGUUUCAGA